RNAcentral lists this ribosomal RNA (301 nucleotides) under uncultured bacterium. RNAcentral describes it as "partial 16S ribosomal RNA". It matches the Rfam family "Bacterial small subunit ribosomal RNA", at positions 509 to 811 of the family's 1533-position model. The record is from RNAcentral.
CAGCCGCCACGGUAAUACCGAGGGUGCAAGCGUUAAUCGGAAUUACUGGGCGUAAAGCGCGCGUAGGUGGUUUGUUAAGUUGGAUGUGAAAUCCCCGGGCUCAACCUGGGAACUGCAUCCAAAACUGGCAAGCUAGAGUAUGGUAGAGGGUGGUGGAAUUUCCUGUGUAGCGGUGAAAUGCGUAGAUAUAGGAAGGAACACCAGUGGCGAAGGCGACCACCUGGACUGAUACUGACACUGAGGUGCGAAAGCGUGGGGAGCAAACAGGAUUAGAUACCCCAAGUCCUGUCCUUAUACACAU